AUUGAACGCUGGCGGCAUGCUUUACACAUGCAAGUCGAACGGAAACAGGCCGCUAGGUGCUGACGCGUGGCGAACGGACGAGUAAUGCAUCGGUACGUACCCAGUCGUGGGGGAUAACUACACGACAGAGAAGCUAAUAUCGUAUCCGAUCUAUGGAUGAGCGGGGGGGAGGGUAAGGGCUCGCUCGGUUGGAGGGGGCGAUGUUCGCUUAGGUAGUUGGUGGGGUAAAGGGUCACCAAGCCCAAGAUCUGUAUGUGAACUGGGAGGAGGACGGCCCACAUGGGGACGUAGACACGGACCAUGCUCCUACGGUAGGCAGCAGUCGGGAAUGGUGGACAAUGGUCGCAAGCCUUGUCCAGUAAUGGCGCGUGCAGGGAGGAAGCGUUGGGGUUGUAAACUGCUUUUGUACGGAACGAAACGGCUCUGGUUAAUACCCGGGGCUAAUGACGGUACCGUAAGAAUAAGCACCGGCUAACUACGUG
This 482-nucleotide ribosomal RNA is filed under the name uncultured bacterium. RNAcentral's name for it is "partial 16S ribosomal RNA". It matches the Rfam family "Bacterial small subunit ribosomal RNA", at positions 30 to 507 of the family's 1533-position model. The record is from RNAcentral.